AUGCAUGCCUUCCCCAGUGACGCGGCCACCGACAGCCGCGUCCGCCGGGGCCUUCACCGACCACCGCUAGCCCUCACGAAGGACCAAGACAACGCCCUCCUCUUCCUCCUCUCAGGGAAAGACCCCUCCUCUUCUUCCUGUCAGGAAGGACCAAGACAGCGCCCUCCUCUUCCUCCUCUCAGGGAAAGAUCCCGUAUGUGGUAUGUUGCAUCCCAGGAAAAAAUAUCUUCUGCCAUUCUCAUGUGCCUGCCUAGUUGGUUAUAUCUAUUAGUUUGGUCUGACAAGCUCUUGUCUAUUAUGUGA
RNAcentral lists this ribosomal RNA (303 nucleotides) under Triticum aestivum (bread wheat). RNAcentral's name for it is "partial small subunit ribosomal RNA". Lineage: Eukaryota; Viridiplantae; Streptophyta; Magnoliopsida; Poales; Poaceae. The record is from RNAcentral.